Molecule: ribosomal RNA, 253 nt
Filed under: uncultured bacterium
Lineage: Bacteria
Description: partial 16S ribosomal RNA
Rfam family: Bacterial small subunit ribosomal RNA
Source: RNAcentral
UACGUAGGGGGCAAGCGUUGUCCGGAUUUAUUGGGCGUAAAGAGCGUGUAGGCGGCCAUACAGGUCCGUUGUGAAAACUCGAGGCUUAACCUCGAGACGUCGAUGGAAACCGUAUGGCUAGAGUCCGGAAGAGGAGAGUGGAAUUCCUGGUGUAGCGGUGAAAUGCGCAGAUAUCAGGAAGAACACCAAUUGCGAAGGCAGCACUCUGGGACGUGACUGACGCUGAGACGCGAAAGCGUGGGGAGCAAACAGG